This 354-nucleotide ribosomal RNA is filed under the name Triticum aestivum (bread wheat). RNAcentral's name for it is "partial small subunit ribosomal RNA". Lineage: Eukaryota; Viridiplantae; Streptophyta; Magnoliopsida; Poales; Poaceae. The record is from RNAcentral.
AUGUUGGAUACGGUUUACAGAGAUGAGCUUCGGGCCCGCCACAGUAUCAACAGUGGAUUUAUUGUAGCUCAGGCGUGUCAUGACUCUACCAUUGAAAAGAUUGGCCUCCGAAGAGGGGAUGUGAUUGACUUGGAUCAUCGUUCUACUGUAGUUGAGCUUGAAGAAUUUCUUCUUGGUCUUGGUUGGGUCUUCUUGGAGAAGAAACUUGAUUCGCACUCGACCAUAGAUGUCAAGAUACGAGUUCAUGAUAUUCGUGCAAAAACAAGUGUUUGUACUAUUUUACCUAUGGGAUUCAGCGAUGCUGUAGUGCACUCAUACCAUUCAUCAGCCUCAUCCCAGGCCGUGAGACCGUGA